AUGUUCGAGUAUGUAAAUGUUGUCAGCAAGAUGUUUGAUAGUGAGGCUGAAGGUUAUGAAUUCUACAACAAAUAUGCUCUUGAAAAAGGUUUUAGUGUGAGGAAAAGCUACGUUGAGUGGGAUGGAUCCAACAAAUACAUAAUUUUAAGGAAAAUUGUGUGUAGUCGUCAGGGGUUUCGCGAAGAUAAGCACAUGAAAAGAAAGAUGGAAGAUAGAAAAAGGAGGCCACGAAGUUUAACUCGUGUUGGGUGUAAUGCUAAAUUGGUCAUUACGAGACAGGAGGAAACCGGUCGGUGA
RNAcentral lists this ribosomal RNA (297 nucleotides) under Triticum aestivum (bread wheat). RNAcentral's name for it is "partial small subunit ribosomal RNA". Lineage: Eukaryota; Viridiplantae; Streptophyta; Magnoliopsida; Poales; Poaceae. The record is from RNAcentral.